AUUGAGCGCUGGCGGCAUACCUUACACAUGCAAGUCGAACGGUAGAGGGGGCAACCUCUCGAGAGUGGCGAACGGGUGAGUAAAGCAUCGGAACGUGCCCAGUAGUGGGGGAUAGCCCGGCGAAAGCCGGAUUAAUACCGCAUGAGACCUACGGGUGAAAGGGGGGGAUCGCAAGACCUCUCGCUAUUGGAGCGGCCGAUGUCAGAUUAGGUAGUUGGUGGGGUAAAGGCCUACCAAGCCGACGAUCUGUACCUGGUCUGAGAGGACGACCAGCCACACUGGGACUGGGACACGGCCCAGACUCCUACGGGAGGCAGCAGUGGGGAAUUUUGGACAAUGGGCGAAAGCCUGAUCCAGCCAUGCCGCGUGCGGGAAGAAGGCCUUCGGGUUGUAAACCGCUUUUGUCAGGGAAGAAAUCCUUUGAGUUAAUACCUCGGGGGGAUGACGGUACCUGGAGAAUAAGCACCGGCUAACUACGUGCCAGCCGCCGCAGUAA
Molecule: ribosomal RNA, 496 nt
Filed under: uncultured bacterium
Lineage: Bacteria
Description: partial 16S ribosomal RNA
Rfam family: Bacterial small subunit ribosomal RNA
Source: RNAcentral